UCUUUUCAUUUUUUAAAAAAGUAACUGAUUUUAUAUAUGGCUAAUAUUUAUUUUUUUGGACUCAUAUUUUUAUUCUAAUUAGAAUAUUUAUUUUAUUCCAUGUAUUUAUGAGUAAGUGGGGUAAUGGGGGUAAGUAUCGUCUAUUUAGUUUUCUUUAACUUAUUUUUUUUCUUUUUUUUAUUACUAAAUAGUAUAUUUGUGAAUAAGUGGGGGUAAUGGGGUCAUACCAUGUAUUUUACUUUUCUUUAACUUAUUAUUUUUUCUUUUUUACUACUGAAUAUAUGAAACUUUGAAUAUUUAGUAUUUAGUUUUAAAAACAUAAAAUCAAAUCAAACAAAUUAACUUAAAUUAAAACACGAGGAAUAUAUGUUGUUUUUAAAAAAAUUGAGGGCAUGAAUUAUGUUGCACUUUGUUUUAAAGAACAUAUAGAAGUAACUACUGUUGCCCACAAAAAAUAGUAUUUAUCAUUAAAAUAAUAUAAGAGUAUCAUGUGUCAACACCAUAAUUUUUUUCUAUUUUCUGAACAAUCAAAAUUAAUUAUUUGUAAGUAUAAAAUAAUAGAUUACAAUUAUAAAAGCAGAUUUUUUUUUAAUUAUCGUGAAUGCAAUUUUAAAAACUAUAGCAGUUUUAACCGCACGUUUUUACGUCUAUACACAACAAAAAAUGCUCCUUAUUUACAGCAACUAAAAAUAAAUAUAAAUUUUAAUCUCCUUUUUCUCUCUAUUUUAUUAAUAUUAUACUUCUCCAAAAUCAAAAUCAAAAUCAACAUCAAAUUUUCAAUUUCUUGUAUAACUAAAAUUAAUUAUUUGUAAUUAUAUUAUAUAAGUAAAUAAAUAAAUUACAAUUUAAAAAACAAAACAGUUAUUUUGAAACUGUUUUAAAAUUAACAUGGAAACAGUUUUAAAAUUUAUCUAUUUAUAAUUUAAAACAUUUUAAAACAAAUUUUCCUUAUUUAUAGCAACAAAAUACAAGUUCUUAUUUCCUUUUUCACUAUACUAGUAUACGGGAUAUUUUAAAAUGAAUCAUUUUUUAAUUUAACAGUGACUAAUAUGAAUUAUUAUUGAGUGUAUAUAUAUUAUAUAUGUUUUACUUAGUAUUAUUUUCUCUUUUUUUUGGAACAUUGUUUUAAAUAUAAAGAUGCAUAAAAUCAAUUGUAUUUUAAACUAAUAAAAUCUUAUCAUAUUUCUCAUGGAUUAUUAGAAUUUUGUCUGGGCCGUUGAUUUGUCCGCGAAAAACGAGAUGCGACAAAAUGACGACUCCGCUGGGGAUAUUACUUUCUUACCAUUACGUGUUUCAUGCUUAUGUGGGGUUUACUUGGUUAUUUUAUUGUUGUUUGGUUAUUAGCAUGUUAUUAAUUUUCCUUGUCUAUAUGAAAGGAAAGGAAUGCUAGGUAUUUUGAAGGACAGAAAAUCAAUUUUCAGAGGAUUAAAACAAACCCUACUAGUCUUCUAUUUUUUUGGUGUAAACAAGACUUAGUGACGGAUGUUGUAGAAUUAGUUGAUUUCUUAGGAAACUUGUAAUCUAAAUACCAUCAUGGAGGUGUGCUCAUCACACUAUGAAAUAUAAGUUUCCAAUUCAUCAUCUCUUGGAUGAUGAAUCCUUUGUGAAUACAAAGUUACCCUUAUCUCCAAAAAUGCUUAUUGUCUUUUAAGAAUAUAUACUCUAAAACCAAGUAGUAUGUAUAUAAUAUUUUUGUGUUUAAGGUCUCUUAAUGUUAUUCUACGAAAAGGAAAUUGAAAUUUAGAAAGAUUAAUUCUAAUUGAUAGGUAAAAUAGAUCAUCUAUGUUGGUCGGACUCUUCAAAAAUGUCAAUGAGUGCGUGUCAGAUUCUCCAAAAGUACUGUAUUUUUGGAGAAUCCGUCACGGGUGAGGCAUCAAAAGUGAAGAGUCCGUGCAACUAGCAGAUCACAACUCGAUUGAUCAUCCAAAAAGUAUAUUACUAAUAAAUAAAAUAAUCUUAAUGACAAGAUUAAGCUGGAUACCUGUGCAGCAAUGACAUUCGAAUCUCCACCAUCUGAUUCCCCUGUCUUUUCAUAACUUUUGACCAAAUUCUGCCACAAACAUUGGAAAAGAAACGUUUAAACUCACCACGUGUGAAUAAAAGUUAUUUCAUCAUGCCCCUUGGCAGUUUUGCUUUCAAUUUAUAUUAUCUGGUCCUAGCUUGCUCUCUUAGUGAGUCAUCUCCCUAGUGCUUCCUUAGUGAUUCAAACCUAUAACCUUAAGGUAAGGGACUCGAACCUAUAAUCUUAAGGUUGGAGGUAAAAGACGUUUACCAUCUAAGCGAUUCUAGCUCAUUAAAGAUGUAACAAUGGACACAUAACACACAUAGUAACAUAGAUAUACAACCGUACCAUCUCUAUAACAGAAUUGAAAAAACACAAAGCAAAUCGAAUCUAACUUUGAGCAAUUAAAAACCUAGAUUGAACACAUACCUGAAACUCGCCUGUCACAUCCGAUAAUUUUCCGUUUUUAAACAACAAAGUACCAGUAUACCCUACAUAUACACACAAAAGCAUACAUAUUUGAUACAAAUAUCAGAUCAAACCACAAAAUUUACCAUAAUCAAUCACAAAAUUACAACACACUGGUCGUUGAUUAAGUGUAUAUACCUGCUCCGACGAUGAAGACGAUCUUUGUUAAGCCUACUCCAGCGUGCAUAGCCAUGGCUGGCGUUAGUCCGGUGACCAAAAAACCCUAAUUUUUUUGUGUUUUCCGGCCAGGGAUCGAGGGAUAUUGGAGUUGAAUGUUUUGAAAAAGAGAUACAAAUGGCACAGCAUGUAAUCUCUUUUUAUUUAUUGGCAAUAUUUAGCCCUUUUUUAUUUUUAUAACAAAAAAAGCUUUUUUAAAAUUGAAAUUGGCAUAUUUUAUCCCACGUUAUUCUAUGAGAAGUUAUUUGAGUUUAUUGGGUAGUGGGUCAGUUUUUCCUUUUUUUUUUCUCCUCUUUUCCACGUUAAUUUUAGUUAGCUUUUAGUGAUAUUGUAAAUAUUUAACCAUUAUUCUUUCAUUCACUUAUACAAUAGUUGAUGUUACUUUUUAGAAUUCCUUCUGUAAAAAUAUACUAUGUGUCUAUUUUUUCUUCAUCUUUGUAUUUUGUUCUCAACUCUUUUCAUUGUUUUUAAGAUUUAAAGAUUCAGGUUGAUAUAUUUUGGUGAAAAUUUAAGAGAUAGUAAUUGUUUGUGGGUAGCAAUUGUCAUGGUUAAGAAAACAAUUCCUAAAAUUACUCCUAAAAAAGGAGAUUCUUUAUGUUUUGUUGGAUUUUAUUUUCUAAUCAUCAAAUCUAUCCAUUAUCAAAAUAAAAAUCUAGUAUUUAGAGAUUAGUCUCCAUGCUAGCUCGAUCAGUUACAUAAAUUGACUUACUUAUUAAUUUUUUGUUAUCUGACUAUUGAAUGGUAUGAAAAAACAGAAAAUACAUAUAUACAGUAAUGGCCUCAAAUUGAAAAGUACAGUCAGUGCCUGCUCAACGGCUUCAUGGAUCUCCUCUCAGACACAAAUCGCUACCACAACGGACCAAUGUUGCAACAUAUAAAAUGGAUCAAUUACUCAAUUACUGAUUGCGAUUUCUUGAAUAGUUAUUUUCAUGAGAAUAAUGCAAGAAAUGGAGAAGAGAAAAACAAUUUUAAAUUCAUUCCCAUCCAACUCUUUUAACAAAGCAAUGCAUAUAUGUAGUGGCAUGAAAUUUAUAUUACUGUGUGAUGUGCUAAGUAUCAGUUGACAUGUCUUCAAGUAUGCUUUACAUGGCAGAUGCACCAUUUUGGCAUUCCUCUCUGUUUCAAACACAUUUUUUAUGUAUAAAAACAUAAAAGAGAUGCAACAAAAACUCAUAAGAAUGUCAAAUCUAAUGAGAUAGGAGUCACUCGAUCAUGUAUGUAAAGUUAGUUAAAGGGUAGUUACGGAAUUAGGCAAUUAGUUAGUCGAUUAGAAAGAAUAAAACAGUGUAUAUAAAUCACUAAUUCAUUGUAAUUAGUCGGUUAACAAAAACUCUUCUUCUUUCUGAAAUAUAUUUUCUCUCUUCUCUUCUCUCUAAUACAUCUGUAAGAAUCCAUUAAUGGUGUGGUUGAUUUGAGCAAUUGCAUGUAUUCUAACAUGGUAUCAGAGCUAAACACCCAUGUUUGUGAGGUUUAUUGAAGCUGAUUUGGUCAAUUUCGAGCUUAGCUGAGUUUUGCCAAUGGCGAACGCUAAGUUCGAUCACAAUCAUGCUUUGUUUUUACAUCCUUCCGACACUACUGGUACUUCCAUUAUUCCGAUGCAACUAACGGGAUCCGAUAAUUACUCUAUUUGGAGCAGGGCUAUGCGAAUUCAAUUGCUUGGGAAGAACAAGCUUGGAAUUGUCGAUGGCAGCUGGAAAAAAGAGGAUUUCGGUGCAGAGUUAAGUCAUCAAUGGGAGAGGUGUAACGCAAUUGUUUAGGGUUGGAUCAUGAGUUCUGUUACUCAGGAUUUGCACACUGGUAUAGUCUAUGCAACUAGUGCACGAGCAUUUUGGGAAGAUCUCCGGGAGCGUUUUGAUAAGGUAAAUGCUUCGCGGAUCUAUCAAUUGCAUAAGGCAAUUGCUACUACUGUUCAAGGUACAGAUUCAAUUCCUAGUUAUUUCUCUAAACUACGAAACUUGUGGGAUGAAUUCGCUAGUAUAGUGCCUCCAUCUUGUCAGUGCCCUAAUUCUAAGGAAUUUUCUAUGCAUUUGGAGAGGCAAAAAUUGAUGCAGUUUCUAAUGGGGCUAAAUGAGAAUUAUGAUCAGUCACGCAGUCAAAUUUUAAUGGUUGAACCUACACCUACUAUUAACAAAGCAUAUGCCAUGCUUGUUGAGAGGGAGAGCCAGAGAUCGAUUGCAUCCUCUUCACUGAGUUAUGAGGGUACGGAUUUGGCUGCUCUCAUGGCAGGAAAGGGCACACACAGUGAUUUCGGUGCACAAAUAUCAGGGAAGACCAUGCCUCCUCGUUAUAACAAGGGUUCUCCAUCCCCACAGUCUACUUCACAGUAUUACAGUAAAGGAAAGAAAAAUUGGGAUCUGAAAUGUGAUUACUGCAAGAUACAGGGUCAUGUCGAAGACAAUUGUUUCAGACUUCAUGGUUACCCACCUGAUUGGAAAUUCAAGAAGAAGGGAGGUGGCAAUAAUGCCUACAAUGUGCAGGCAGAUAAUUCAUCCUCUACAAGCUCAGGUUUGAGAGACAAAACCAUGGAUCAACUAGUUCCCAAAGAUCUACCACGGGCACCUCAGAUGACUGUUGAUCAGCAUGGUCAAGUAAUGCAGAUGCUUGAUGGUAAUAUUUCUACUGCUCAUGUAAUGGCAAACAUGGCAGGUAUGGUCCAUACUCCUAUGUCUAAAAUUGCAAAUUUGAGAUGGAUAAUUGAUAGUGGUGCAACUAACCACAUGAUCUCUAGUUUAGAUGUAUUACAUGAUGUACAACCUGUUAAGACUACACAAAAUAGGAAAGUACAUUUGCCCAAUGGAGGGAAUACUUUGGUAACUCAUACUGGGAGCUGUAAGUUUGCAGACACAGGAGAAUUACAGGAUGUUUUGUUUGUACCAGAAUUCCACUAUAAUCUUUUAUCUAUAUCAAAAGUUACAAAAGAACUCAAUUGCUUUGUUUCAUUCUAUCCUGGAUUUUGUCUAUUUCAGGACCUUUCCAGUGGGAAACUGACGGGGAUUGGUAAGGAAGAUGAUGGACUGUACUAUCUGGUUCAUUCACAAAAAUCUUCUAUUCAUGACAAGGUUAAGAGUUUUGCUGCACAUGAUGACAGAAAGGAGAUUUUGCUGUGGCAUAGAAGACUUGCCCAUGCUUCAAUAGGAUCUAUGAAAGACUUGUUAGGCUAUAAUGUUGAUGAUUGUAAAAUGGCUUUGAACAAUUGUGAAGUAUGUCCUCUAGCUAGGCACACUAGACUGCCUUUCACUAAUAGUGCCACUAGGUCUUCUAAAGUGUUUGCUUUAUUGCAUUUAGAUGUAUGGGCCCUUAUAAUACUCCAACAUUUGAUGGAAAUAAAUUUUUCCUUACUAUUGUUGAUGAUUUUUCCAGAACCGUAUGGGUUUUCUUGUUAAAAUUCAAGAGUGAUGUAUUGAUGACUCUAAAACAGUUCUUCACAAUGGUUGUCACUCAGCUUAAGACCAAUGUUAAAGGUGUUAGGACAGACAAUGGUGGUGAAUUUGUGAAUGGUUCUCUACAAGAUUUGUUUAAAGAAUUGGGUAUAAUUCAUUAUAGAACAUGUGCUCACACCCCUCAACAAAAUGGGGUGGCUGAAAGGAAGCACAGACACCUUCUUGAAGUUGCUAGGGCUUUAAGGUUUCAGGGCCAUAUUCCUAUCAAGUUCUGGGGCCAUUGUGUUCUUACAGCAGCAUAUAUCAUUAACAGACUUCCUUCUCAGACUUUAAAUGGGAGGUCUCCUUAUGAGGUCUUUUUUGGAAAAAAACCAUGCCUUAGUCAUCUCAGAACACUUGGCUGCUUAUGUUUUGCAAGUACUUUGCCUAGGACUGAUAAGUUUGCCCCUCGAGCAGUUAGGUCAGUGUUUAUGGGUUAUUCUUCUGUCACCAAGGGUUACAUUUGUUUUGAUCUUGCGGAACAAAAGUUCUUUGUGAAUAGAGAUGUCAUUUUUCAUGAAGAUCGUUAUCCUUUUCUUCAUUUAUCUCAAGCUCCUGCUGAUCCUAUUUCACAUAUAUCUUCUUAUUUUCCUGAGUCAUUUCCCCACAAUGAUUUUCUUUCUAACCCUUCUGAUCCAAUUCCUGACUUCUUACCUUCAUCUCCUCCUUCCUUAGAUCCUCCAGUUGAUCAUGUGCCUACUAUACCCACUGUCACUCAUGUUUCUCCUACCUCAUCCAUUCCUCAACUUAGGAGGUCUACUAGGAUUUCUAAGCAACCUCUUUGGUUAUCUGAAUAUGUUUCUAAACCUUCUGCUAGUACAAUUCUGUAUCCUCUUGCAGCUUCUAUAUCUUACAACAAUUUGUCCUCUUCCUACCAGAAAUAUUUGCAAGCUUUUUCUGCUGUCAUUGAACCAUCUUCCUACAAGGAAGCUAUGUCAGAUCCUAGAUGGUUGGAAGCCAUGCAGGCUGAACUGCAGGCUCUACAAGAUAACCACACUUGGGAUUUGGUUCCACUUCCGAAAGGAAAGGUUCCUAUUGGGUGUAGAUGGGUCUAUAAGGUGAAAUUGAAAGCUAAUGGCGAUGUUGAGAGGUUUAAAGCUAGGUUGGUUGCUAAGGGUUACACUCAAAGGGAAGGUCUGGAUUUUCAUGAGACAUUCUCGUCCAGUGGUUAAGAUAGCCACUGUACGGACUGUUACUUCCUUGGCUGCUCAGUGUAACUGGUCUGUGCAUUAGCUGGAUGUUUACAAUGCUUUUUUACAAGGUGAUCUUUAUGAUGAAGUUUAUAUGCAGUUGCCUGAGGGUUUUACAAGCCAGGGGGAGUCUAGACUUGUAUGUAGACUUGUCAAAUCCCUCUAUGGACUCAAACAAGCAAGCAGACAAUGGAAUUUAAAGUUAAGUGAAGCACUACUGGGGUCUGGUUUUAUUCAGAGUAGCUUAGACCAUUCAUUAUAUAUUAAAAGGUCAGGUUCAGAUAUGGUGGUAAUUCUUGUCUAUGUUGAUGAUAUGUUAGUUACCGGAAACAGUCUAACUAUUAUAGAACAUACAAAAGCAACCUUGCAGAAAGCUUUCAAGAUCAAAGAUCUUGGAGAAUUGAAAUUUUUCCUUGGUAUGGAAUUUAGUAGAUCAGCCAAAGGUAUCUUGAUGAAUCAGAGGAAGUAUGCUUUAGAAAUUAUUUCAGAUUUGGGUUUAGGAGGUGCCAAGCCAGCUUGGACUCCACUUGAAGUUAAUAUGCAGUUGACAACUCCAGAAUUGGAUUGCAUUAUUGGAAAAUUAGAUGAUGAGCCUUUUGCAGAUAGAGAACAGUAUCAAAGGUUAAUAGGGAAGAUGUUGUACUUGACCAUGACCAGACCAGACAUUGCUUAUUCAGUUCAAACAUUAAGUCAAUUUUUGCAGCGACCAAAACAAUCACACUGGGAGGCAGCAAUGAGAGUGAUGAGAUACAUUAAAAGAGAGCCAGGACUUGGCAUAUUACUAAGCAGUAACAAGUCUAAUAACCUGAGUGUAUAUUGUGAUGCAGAUUGGGCAGCAUGCCCAAAUACAAGAAGGUCAGUGUCAGGUUAUCUAGUUAAACAUGGUGAUACAUUGCUGUCAUGGAAGUCCAAGAAGCAGAAUGUGGUUUCCAGGAGUUCAGCAGAAUCUGAGUAUAGGAGCAUGGCAAAUGCAGUUUCAAAAUUGGUAUGGAUAAUUGCCUUAUUGAAGGAAUUGGGAAGUGAAGUUGAGCAGCCUGCUAUAGUGUACAGUGACAGCAAAGCAGCCCUGCAAAUAGCAGCCAAUCCUGUGUUUCAUGAGAGGACAAAACACAUAGAGAUCGACUGCCAUUUUAUCAGACAGAAAAUACAAACAUGAAUGAUGAGGACAGAGCAUGUGAGUUCAAAAGAACAACUUGCAGACAUACUAACUAAGGGGCUGCCUAGAUCACAACAUGAAGUUUUAGUGAGCAAGCUUGGUGUGUUGAAUGUGUUUGCACCCACCAGCUUGAGGGGGAGUAAUGAGAUAGGAGUCACUUGAUCAUGUAUGUAAAAUUAGUUAAAGGGUAGUUACGGAAUUAGGCAAUUAGUUAGUCGGUUAGAAAGAAUAAAACAGUGUAUAUAAAUCACUGAUUCAUUGUAAUUAGUCGGUUAACAAAAGCUCUUCUUCUUUCUGAAAUAUAUCUUCUCUCUUCUCUUCUCUCUAAUACAUCUGUAAGAAUCCAUUAAUGGUGUGGUUGAUUUGAGCAAUUGCAUGUAUUCUAACAAAAUCCACAUAGGUGAAUAGUUGAAAUGAGAAAUCCUAAUCUAAUAAAAAACAAUUACCAGGAUUAACAACUAUUGAAAUGCAUUUCUGAGUACAUAUAAAAGAAUGGUAUACAUAGACUUUGUUGAUCAGACAAAAUAAAGAUUCUGAUUUUUAUUAUAAGAAAAACCCAAUUAUAUUCACAAGGAAAGAGAUAUACACAAUUUUCAAAAUCUACUAUUCUGAAAUGGAUUAGGAUUUUAAGGGGGGAAAAGUUGUAAGUAACUGUAGAGUAGCAGAAAAAAUUAGCGAGAAAUUUUAAUGAUGAACAAAACGGAAUGGAAUUGGAGUUGUCGAAUUUAGUAAUUCAACUUCAAAUUUCAAUUAGAUUAAUUUAAUUCUUGAACUAUUCCAUAUAUGUAGCAAUGACCAUGAAACUAAAGUGACGAAGCAUCACAAAUCGCAAAGAAAUCAAAAUUCAUACAAAUAACAAAAAAGAGAGUACAUUACUGAAUCUAUGAGCUUCAAAGGAGAAGAAAAAGAAAAUCGUGAAUCAGUGAAUGUCUAUCAACAACAAAUAUCUCAUCAAUCAACAACAAACAUCUUAUCAGUGACUAUAAUAAUGUACAUGACAUCAAUGAAUUCAUAAAAUAUUCUAAAGAAAUAGAUACACAUUAUAUAUAAUUACUAUAUGUAACUUCUAUUUUUCUUUAGGCAUGUUCUGAUGUUAUGCCCUUCUUGUCCACAUUUUCCGCAUGAAGUUUUAUAUGUUUUUUUUGUUGAUUUCCAAGCUUUUUCUUGUCUCUUUUUUUUGGGUCUUCCUGGCACUUUGUUACCUAUUGGAUGCAAUAAAAUUUCUUCAGCCACUUCUUGGGGUAAGUCCUUUUUUAUGUAAUACUGCUAAAGCAUGUGGACAUGGAAGUUCAUCGAGUUGAAAUUGUUGACAUGUACAUAUUUUUGCUUUUAUACAAACGAUGAAAAUUUUCCCCAUAUGUGUGACGGUAUGUAGGUAAUCACUUGAAGGUCGCACCUAUUGAGGAUAAUUAAUAUGAUUAGUAUAAAUAUUUAUGGUGUGCAAUUUAUAUUUAGAAAACUUAAUAUGAUUAGUAUAAGUAAUAGAACUUACCAUCAUAUGUAGUGCAAUUUCCAGGUUAUCAACAAUAAUUGAUUCAUAUUUUGCUGUAAGUUUAGUAUUUGUAUACAGAGCUUCUUUUGACUUGUCAUAGUUCCAUUUCUCAAUUAAUUUACGCAUCUCUUCAAGUAGCCUUGUUACUGGGAGAUCUCGUGCGUCUUUUGUUGCUGAGUUAAGCGACUCUGCUAUGUUGGAUGUCAUGGUCAUAGUUCUAUUACUUGUGGAAUGUGCCCUUGACCAUUUACUAUAGCCAAUUUCAUACAGGUAAGUCUUCACUCGAUGAUCAAUUCGAUUAACUUCAGCCAUAUAGUAAUCAAAAUCUUGCAUAGUGUAUGCGCGAGCCAUUGCAUAAUAUAUUUCCCUUAAUUGUAAUUGGUUUCUCCUGAAAUUUUCUUUGAUGUUUUUCCACAGAUGCCACAUACAUGCGUAAUGUGGUAAAUCUGGAAAUAUAACCGAUAUAGCUCUAAUUAUGUUUUGAUGCCUAUCUGAUACAAAACACAUUUUAUGUUUUCAUGCCUUCUUCUUCUUGGACUUGAGCAUGACAUAUCCAAUAAACACGCUCAAGAAGCAGAUGAGUGCCACUGCAGCAUAUACAGGAAUGAGAAUAGCAUAUUCUUGUGGUAGAAAAUACUUGUGCACGAAAUGAUCGCUAUCAACAAGAGGCUGAAAGAACAAAACAACAUUUGCACAUCAAUCUCCAGAUAAAACUUAGGUUGCAAGGGUCUGCUAUGUUGCUCGGACUCUCCAAUAAUGUUGCCACACCCGUGGUCAGAUCCUUCAAAAACGUACCGCUUUUGAAGGAUCCAACAUGCACCUAGCGACAUUUUUGAAGAGUCCGAACAACAUACAAGGUCAGUACAGAAUGGGAUGGAAGAGAAUAUGAGCUGACCAGAAUGAUAACCCAGAAGGUAUAAUAUGUAAAAUGGACAAACUAGUCAAUGUUAAAAUGAGCCCAACAGCUCUGUCAGCCAACUCCAUCGAGACUCCUCUUCUUGUGCCGCCUGUAAAAGAAGAAUGUUUCAGUUAAGAACUUGUGUACCUUACAAGUUACAAGAAGAGGAUCAAAACAAAAAAAAUUGGCCUGGUCACAGGUUUGCCGGUACCAUACAAGGUUCAAGGGACUAAAAGGAGAGAAGACAAAACAAAAACGGAUGAAAGUGGAACACAGUCCGGAAGGAGACCUUAUCUCCUAAAGAGGUUGUUCCCGAUAGAAUCUCAGCUCAAGGAGAGAUGAAAAAGAAGCAGUAAUAACAGAGAGUAGCAUCAGCAACAUAAUAAGAUAAACGAUGCCACAGAAACAUGUGUUGUGUUUAGUACAUGUCUUCCAACAUGUGACCAUUGUGAAGGAACGUGUUGCAUACAAUAUCUACCCAAUCAUUCAUCCAUAUGUCUUGACAAGAAAAAAUUCAGAAAGAUACAUGAGCAGUUCUCUCAAGUCUCAAUGUACUCUUGUUGCACUAUCCUGAGUCCUGACCACAAAAUGAUACAACUUCUCCUUCUCAAGAUGUCGAUAACGAUGCUUUUAACUAUGACAACAACCCGAAGAAAGACAAGGUAAUAAACACGUCUACCUAAAAAGAACUCUAGGUUAUGAGUCCCAAAAUGAAGUCAUAUGAUAGGGGAGUAAGCUUGGCAACAUAUUAAUAGGCCCUAAUUCUACAGGAAAACUCAUUUGUUAAGGACACAAAAUUACAAUUUAUAUAUAUUUAACUUAGUUUCACUAUUAUCUUAUUUGGUAUGAUGAUGACAUGAGGUGAGCUUAAAAGGAGAAAAAAGGAUUUAUAUAGCUGACCCAAACUUGUUUGGAACUAAGGCAUAGUUGUUGUAAGGACACAAUAUUACAAAUUAACACAAGGUUGCUCAUUAGAGUUAAUCUAUAUCACAGAUCUAAUAAGACUGACUCUUAGAAUUUCCAUCGUCAAUGAGAACUAAAUUUUGCAAGGCCCCAUAUUUGCCAAGAAAGAGAAGCUAUGUCCUCACACUCCCAAACAGCAGACAGCACACGAGAAUCAUACUUUAAAAAAUGCUUAAGUUAGUCAAGUUGGAGAACAAGAAAAGUAUUUUUCUAAGAACUAAAUUACUACUCCAGCAAACUAUCACCGGGACUCUAAUUUCCUAAUAGAAAAUGAGUUAAAUCUUGAACUUCCUAGUCAUUAGUGGAAUUACACUGUCGAAAGGGGUUAAAACUAAGCUAUAAUGGUGAACACUAGACCAUUGGUAGAGCUAAUACUUAGACUUGUUAAAGCUGAGGUGAAUCUUCGGAACAUACCUACCACAGUCGAGGAUCCUAUCCAUAGUAAACAGUACAUGAAGGAACACCAACUCUUAAAGGAAGGACAUAGUCUCACCAUUCAAAGAGUAUAACAUAUCUUUCAGACAAGUAACUAAGUCCAUCCUAAUUAGGCCUUCCAUUUUACUAUCCAUUUCAUCAUAAAAUUACCAAUCCUCUAUUUAUCGAAAGGAAAAAAUUACCAACCUUCAGUGAGCUAUAUGAUUCCAUUUCUUUUUCUCUAAAAAGGAGAACACUAAAACGACACAGAAUCAUAAGUUCUCGUGGUGUUACGAAUGAAUAAUAAACUAAUGAUUAAAAAAACAUGGGAAAAGAUAAAACUGUUCAUCAAUUACACAAAGACAAACACCAAACACCUUUAGUCACAGAUUAUUUAAUUGCAAAAUUAUAAAAAAGAAAAAAAAAAUCACCCCCAUAUCUCAAUUUCUAAGCAACUCCACCAGAAACGGUAGGUAUAUCCAUUUCGAUAACCAAUAUCUUUCACCUCUUAGUAAAAGUUUCUAAGAAUUGCUAUUCAGACUAAAAUAAAAAGAAAAGCAGCAACAAAGUAAAAACUCUCCAUAUUUCGCAACUCAUUCCCAUAACAUAUUACCAGAUACCCCUUCAUUUCAAUUUGUUUGACUUACAUUCCUUUUUAGUUUGUUUAAAAAAGAAUGCUUCUUUCCUUUUUCCACAACUUUCUUAUUUUAACUUUCCACAUAGCAUGUUUAAGACCAUAAGAUUAAAAAGCAUUUUGAUACAUUCUACGUUUUUUUUUAGAUUAAGACAUAAUAGUCAAAAGUCUUUUUACUUUCUUAAACUUCGUGUCAAGUCAAAACCAGACAAAUAAAUUGAAACAAAGGGAAUAAGUUUUUUGUUUCCUCCACUUUUAGGUCUGUUAGUUAUCACUGAACUUCCAACAAGGUUCAUACAACAAAGACCUUUAGACAUGAUUUGACUCCCAAAGCUAAAAACUUUAUACCAGAAAAAGGCUAGAGUUGCAAGAAAAAUACUACCACCCACCCGAGCCCUUGGCACCAGGGUCAGGAUUGAUCUCAAAACUGAUAAGCCCCUUCGUAUUCCAACAACAAACUAUGCCUCAGUCCCAAACAAGUUGUCGUCAACUAUAUCAAUCCCCACUUUCAUUUAGGCUCAUUUUAUAUGAAUUCAACCAACAACAACAUAUCCGGUGUAAUCCUACAAGUUGAAGUCUAGGGAGUGUAGUGUAUUAUGUACGUGGCCUUACCCCUAACUCAUGCUUGAAUGUCAAUUACCCUUUUCAGAAACUAUGGAACAUAAAUCCAUAAUCCUUAAGAAAUUAGUUUUCAAAAAAGCUCAAGAUUCACAAGUUAUGUCCAGAAAGGCUACAGGAUCACAAAAAAAUGGACAUUUUGAUGGAUCACUCAAUCAAUCAAUCAACUAAAAACUUAAUAAAAUUGGCAAUAUGAGUGGGAAAUGGAAAAAAUUAUAAAUUUUUUUGCAUAAAUUCAGCAAAAAUAUUGAGACCCCAUUAAAGUAAGAGAAACAACAAACUUAGAUCACCUGAAAAGUUCGGUUCUUGGUGUUGAAGAUUUCUGCUUUCAGAGCAUGAAGAUCGCCAUUUUCAAAGAAAAUGAACUUUGAUUGAUUUUCAAUUUAGGGUGUGUUUGGUAUGAAGGAAAAUGUUUUCCUGGAAAAUGUUUUCUUGGAAAACAAGUUGAUUUUUAACUUGUUUUCUUAUGUUUGGUUAGUGAGUGGAAAACAUUUUCUGGAAAACAAUUUCUAGUGUUUGGUUGGUGAGUAAGGAAUUUUUUUAGGAAAAUAAUUUUCUAUGCUCUUUCACCCCCAACCCGGACUUAAUCAUAUAUUUUAUGGAUUAGAUAAACUAUUUUCGAUAGAACCACAUUUAGUUUUAAAAAGUCACGCGUAACAUUCUAAAAUAACAGUUAUAUUACAUGAUGAAAUGCAAAAACAACCAUUUUAGGAUUGUAAAGAUCACAAAUUUACU
RNAcentral lists this long non-coding RNA (14166 nucleotides) under Solanum tuberosum (potato). RNAcentral's name for it is "long non-coding RNA (STUB_LNC000579)". Lineage: Eukaryota; Viridiplantae; Streptophyta; Magnoliopsida; Solanales; Solanaceae. The record is from RNAcentral.